AUGAUUGGUCUAUUCUGGAACAUUAGAGGCCUGAAUGGGCCUAUCAAAUGCAACAAGUUGAAAGAGCUUAUUAUAGCUCAUAAACCUGAUUUUAUUAGUAUUUCAGAAUCUAAGAAAGAAGACUUCACCCCUCUUCAGCUGGAAGUCUUUGAUGUUAGAUCCUGCUUCACCUGGAAAUGGCUCCCUGCUAAUAACACUACUGGAGGCAUUCAGGUAGGGAUUAGGGGAUAUCUUUUUGAUAUUGUUUGCUGUGACAUACACACUUAUAGUGUCUCUUGUUUGCUCAAAAACAAACAAGAUGGAUCUUCUUGGGUAUUGAUCUCCAUUUAUGGUCCUGUUUAUGAUCAAUAUAAACUGGACUUUAUUAAUGAGCUGCACAACUUGCUUACUGGUUGGACCGGUCCAACUCUGGUAGGUGGUGAUUUCAAUUUAAUUAGAGAGGCC
This 444-nucleotide ribosomal RNA is filed under the name Triticum aestivum (bread wheat). RNAcentral describes it as "partial small subunit ribosomal RNA". The record is from RNAcentral. Lineage: Eukaryota; Viridiplantae; Streptophyta; Magnoliopsida; Poales; Poaceae.